CCUACGGGGGGCAGCAGUGGGGGAUAUUGCACAAUGGGGGGAACCCUGAUGCAGCGACGCCGCGUGGGUGAAGAAGCUUCUCGGCGCGUAAAGCCCUGUCAGCAGGGAAGAAAAUGACGGUAUCUGAAGAAGAAGCCCCGGCUAACUACGUGCCAGCAGCCGCGGUAAUACGGAGGGGGCAAGCGUUAUCCGGAUUUACUGGGUGUAAAGGGGGCGCAGACGGCGUUGCAAGCCAGGAGUGAAAGCCCGGGGCCCAACCCCAGGACUGCACUUGGAACUGCGAGGCUGGAGUGCAGGAGGGGUAGGCGGAAUUCCUGGUGUAGCGGUGAAAUGCGUAGAUAUCAGGAGGAACACCGGUGGCGAAGGCGACCUGCUGGACCGCAACUGACGUUGAGGCCCGAAAGCGUGGGGAGCAAACAGGAUUAGAUACCCUUGUAGUC
Molecule: ribosomal RNA, 440 nt
Filed under: uncultured bacterium
Lineage: Bacteria
Description: partial 16S ribosomal RNA
Rfam family: Bacterial small subunit ribosomal RNA
Source: RNAcentral